Molecule: unclassified non-coding RNA, 211 nt
Filed under: Hevea brasiliensis (rubber tree)
Lineage: Eukaryota; Viridiplantae; Streptophyta; Magnoliopsida; Malpighiales; Euphorbiaceae
Source: RNAcentral
UGAAAAGGAUGCAGAAGUCAUUACUAAAUAGAUUCUGCAAAUGUUUAGCAAGAAUGUGAGAUUGAAAUUUGUGUGCUCAUGAACGUGGGUUUUUGCGUGAACAACCUGCAUCUAAGCUGAAUUUAUUUUCUCUGUUCUCUCUUGAGGAUAGAUAAAUUCUUGUAAAUGAUUGAAUGACUCUGAUUAUAGCAAAGGCAAAAAUUCUUCGCAC